UGGGGAAUAUUGCACAAUGGGGGAAACCCUGAUGCAGCGACGCCGCGUGAGUGAAGAAGUAUUUCGGUAUGUAAAGCUCUAUCAGCAGGGAAGAUAAUGACGGUACCUGACUAAGAAGCCCCGGCUAACUACGUGCCAGCAGCCGCGGUAAUACGUAGGGGGCAAGCGUUAUCCGGAUUUACUGGGUGUAAAGGGAGCGUAGGUGGCAGGGCAAGUCAGAUGUGAAAACCCGGGGCUCAACCCCGGGAGUGCAUUUGAAACUGUCCAGCUGGAGUGCAGGAGAGGUAAGCGGAAUUCCUAGUGUAGCGGUGAAAUGCAUAGAUAUUAGGAGGAACACCAGUGGCGAAGGCGGCUUACUGGACUGUAACUGACACUGAGGCUCGAAAGCGUGGGGAGCAAACAGG
This 404-nucleotide ribosomal RNA is filed under the name uncultured bacterium. RNAcentral's name for it is "bacterial SSU rRNA". It matches the Rfam family "Bacterial small subunit ribosomal RNA", at positions 355 to 776 of the family's 1533-position model. The record is from RNAcentral.